RNAcentral lists this long non-coding RNA (1551 nucleotides) under Panax ginseng (ginseng). RNAcentral's name for it is "long non-coding RNA (PGIN_LNC008428)". The record is from RNAcentral. Lineage: Eukaryota; Viridiplantae; Streptophyta; Magnoliopsida; Apiales; Araliaceae.
ACUUUUCUCAAUAUCUCGCCAUUUCAUUUCCAUCACCACCUCACCACCGUCGCUCGUUCUCUCUCCUUCUCCACCACCGCCUCUGCCACGGACCUUUUCAUCGCCCACGCCGGUAAAUUUCAUCCCAAGUUCAGUUCUUGUUUCUUAUUACCUGUUCAUCUACUUCCAGCCAACUCUGUUUCAUUAUAUAUAUGUUAUGAACUUAUAAAUGUAUUCUCACUCUUUUUUGUUUACUUAUAAAUGUAUAUGUUAUGUUACUUUUGUAUUCUCACUCUUUUAGCUUCACUUGCUAUCGAUAGAAUUGGAAAGGGGCGUUUGGAUGAGAUAAUUGAUCAGUUUAUGGUGCAGCAAAACUUUAGAUGAUCCGUUUAUGGUGCCUAGCAUUUCAUAGUGAAAUGAGGCCUUCGAUGACAGAGGUAGCAGAUGAAUUGGAGCAAAUUAGGCUAAGUAAAUGUGCAUCUGUCGACCAACCUUGGUCUAAUUUAAGCAAGAGGGUGAUUGGUAAGAAGCCUGAAUUUGAGAGUAAAGGUGUGUUUGGCAGUUUGAAUUCAGUGGACAGUGAGAAGAAUUAUUCGCCUGUUUCUGUGCAGGAAUCAUGGUUAAGUAGUGAUCGAAGCUCUCCUUCAUCAAAUAGUCUACUCAAUCAUUCAAUUCACUGAUAUAUGUAAAAACUCUAAUCUACUUAUGAAGGAUUAGAAUCCGCACUGUUUGGAUGGAUUUUUUGUGGAUGAUUUAUACAUAAGUAGUAACUGUAUAUAUAUAUUAUAUACAGGUUUGCUUGGUAUCCAUUUCUUUUUUGUUAUGAACUUAUAAAUGUAUAUGUUAUGCUCUGUUUGUGUGUCACUUGUUUCGAUUUUUCUGUUUGUAUCUGCAUAAUAAUUUAUGUAAUACAAUAUGCUUCUUUGCAGUUCUGUAAUGGUAUGUAGUUUCUUUGUUUAUUAUGUGAAUUCAUAGAUGAUUAAAUUCAAGCAAGCUAAAUGCUCAGCUUUUAGAUAUAUAUUUGGUUGCCUUUUGCAGGUACUAUUUUUAACAUGGAUACCUCUAUUGGCACACUUGAUCACUACAAGAAAAAGCUUUAUUUUCGACAGAAGUAUUGUCGACUAAACCGAUUCCGUCGAUGAUAAUAGAAGACCGACCGAAUAUUUAGUCGACAUUAAUUCAGUUGGAAUUAAUGUAUCCUCGACUGACAUUAGUCGGAUUUAAGAUCUUCUCCUUGACGCGAGGGUUUCCCACCAACGCGAAUAUAUAGUCGACUGAAUAUGAUCAUCCUCGACCGAAUAAUUCGUCGAUGUUAUAAUAACGUCGACGGACACAACCCCGACGGACUUCCGUCGGGCAUAAACCUAAAAAACCCUUUCGCCUCCCUUGCGUCUUUUCAUUUUCAUUUUCCUCUCUAUUUACACUUUCCCUCUCCUAUCUAGCUAGACUACGUCUCUCUCUCUCUCAUACCCUGCACCAACCCCCUCGAUCUCCAUCGGUCCCCUCACGCACCCUGCACCCGCCGGCCGGUACCCCCACUCCCCCCGGCCGAUCGUCCCCGGCCUGCUCGAC